Molecule: transfer RNA, 60 nt
Filed under: Metastrongylus salmi
Lineage: Eukaryota; Metazoa; Nematoda; Chromadorea; Rhabditida; Metastrongylidae
Description: tRNA-Arg
Source: RNAcentral
AGUGUUUAAAGUAGAAUUUCUAUAUUUGAUUACGGUUCGAAAGGGUUAUAAGCAUUAUUG